Molecule: long non-coding RNA, 526 nt
Filed under: Salvia miltiorrhiza (redroot sage)
Lineage: Eukaryota; Viridiplantae; Streptophyta; Magnoliopsida; Lamiales; Lamiaceae
Description: long non-coding RNA (SMIL_LNC008530)
Source: RNAcentral
UAAAAUAUAUCUCUCUCUUCUUCUUCACAAGAAAACUCAUGCUGCUCACAUCUCUUCCUCUCGUUCAAUUAGUAAAACUGAAGCUUCAACAUCAUCUCUCUCUCUUUCGAUCAACUCACGGCUGGAGUUGCCGCCGCGUUCUGAAAAUCCGGCGAGGUUCGCCGCGUGGAGCUGCUGCCGCUGACUGCUGCUGUUCUGCUCUGGGCCGCGACCAGCGGCGCUUGGCCUUCGGCCGCGCCGCCCCGCUCCGCCUGAAGUCGCCGAGUCAGCCGUCGCCGACUGCUGCUGUCGCCGAGGAGUCCGCCGCUGCUGUUUCUCCUGUUGCAGAGCUCCGACAAUCCACCAUCCUUUCUCUCUCGUUUUAUCACUCACGAUAGGUUCGUAAAUUUGAAUUAAAAACUGAAACUCCUCUUUCCCUUUCUUGGCAGAUCGGAGACAACCGCGGCUCCGUCGCCGUCCGUCAACCGCCGGCGACGACGAGCCACCGAGGCUGCCCUCCCCCUGACCUCGACUCACACACGCAAAC